Molecule: non-coding RNA, 149 nt
Organism: Photobacterium ganghwense
Lineage: Bacteria; Pseudomonadati; Pseudomonadota; Gammaproteobacteria; Vibrionales; Vibrionaceae
Source: Rfam
CCUGUUAUGCAACUAACAGUAGCCUAAGGGUAGUGCGUCGCUGGUAACGGCGGGGUUCGAAGCUCCCUGACAAUGUACCCCCAUUUCGAUGGUUAAUUCUCACUGUGAGGUGAGGAUGGAGAUAUUGCCAAUAGCAGGUGAUUGAGGGG